Molecule: long non-coding RNA, 964 nt
Filed under: Dendronephthya gigantea
Lineage: Eukaryota; Metazoa; Cnidaria; Anthozoa; Malacalcyonacea; Nephtheidae
Description: uncharacterized LOC114543356
Source: RNAcentral
UGUCCAUCGUGCGGAAACCUAUGUGUUAACAGCAAUGAAAAUUUUUGCAAUUCCUGUGGCUCAGCAUUAAAAGACGGAAAUCUUACAAAGCCCAAGGAAAUGUCAAAUAAUGCAAGUGGUGGCUUAAAAACUUUAACUUUUGAAGAAUUUCUGAAGAGAGGAUCAAGCAGAGAAACUAAAGACCAAGAACAACGUCAACAAACCUUUAACGAAAUGAAAAAAAGAAAAUCAGAUGAAAGAACGAAAUCAUUAAAAAAAAAGAAGGAAGAAAUUGUAAAGAUAAAUAGUGGGUUGGUAGAAUGUGGAGUAGCAAGGCAGCUAAAAGUCAAAAAAGGUUCUCUUCUACCUCUCGAUUUUAAAAAAAGAAAAUGAUUCCAGUUGUAAAGUGAAGAGUUUAGGGAUGGACAAGCAGUUGGCUCAUAAUAAACACCUGAGGGAUUCUGGUGACUUUGAUUGUGUUCUGAUGUACCCAGACUUUGGUCUGGUUAACACUAUUCCAGGAACUUCACAGCCAUUUACAGUUGAGAGAUAUAAGGAAGCAAUUGGAAGGCCUUAUAAUCGAGUCAACUUGUACUUGUGCAAGGUCUCUGACUUAAUUUGAAAUUGCCAAUGAUAUUGAGAAUACUGAAGAUGAAUCUCUGGGACCACACAGCUCCCCAACAAUUAACUCUCAGGACUGGAAUAGCAACCAAACUAUGUUAACUCCUAACAAGCAGGCAAUUUUUUGCUAUGAUUACCAAACAAGUACCUCUGAAACCCAAGCGAGUAUCUCCGCCACCAAAGCAAGUAUCUCUGAUGCCCAAGAAAGUACCUCUGGUAACCAAGCAACUACCUCUAUCAACCAGGCAACUGAAACAAAUAUCACUGAAAAUUUUUUAUUUCUAGAAGAUAUAUUUGAAGGUUGGAAAUAUCAUGCAUGGAAGGCCCUCUAAUUCCUAUCGAGUAUUGUAUUGCAUAUCACAUA